This 253-nucleotide ribosomal RNA is filed under the name uncultured bacterium. RNAcentral describes it as "partial 16S ribosomal RNA". It matches the Rfam family "Bacterial small subunit ribosomal RNA", at positions 524 to 776 of the family's 1533-position model. The record is from RNAcentral.
GACAGAGGUGCCGAGCGUUAGGCGGAAUCACUGGGCUUAAAGCGUGUGUAGGCGGAUUUGUAAGUCCCUUGUGAAAUCCCCGGGCUCAACCCGGGAACUGCGUCCGAUACUGGAAGGCUUGAAUCCGGGAGAGGGAUGUGGAAUUCCAGGUGUAGCGGUGAAAUGCGUAGAUAUCUGGAGGAACACCGGUGGCGAAGGCGACAUCCUGGACCGGUAUUGACGCUGAGGCGCGAAAGCCAGGGGAGCAAACGGG